RNAcentral lists this ribosomal RNA (496 nucleotides) under uncultured bacterium. Its description in RNAcentral is "partial 16S ribosomal RNA". It matches the Rfam family "Bacterial small subunit ribosomal RNA", at positions 28 to 506 of the family's 1533-position model. The record is from RNAcentral.
GAUGAACGCUGGCGGCGUGCCUAAUACAUGCAAGUCGAGCGAACGGACGAGAAGCUUGCUUCUCUGAUGUUAGCGGCGGACGGGUGAGUAACACGUGGAUAACCUACCUAUAAGACUGGGAUAACUUCGGGAAACCGGAGCUAAUACCGGAUAAUAUUUUGAACCGCAUGGUUCAAAAGUGAAAGACGGUCUUGCUGUCACUUAUAGAUGGAUCCGCGCUGCAUUAGCUAGUUGGUAAGGUAACGGCUUACCAAGGCAACGAUGCAUAGCCGAUCUGAGAGGGUGAUCGGCCACACUGGAACUGAGACACGGUCCAGACUCCUACGGGAGGCAGCAGUAGGGAAUCUUCCGCAAUGGGCGAAAGCCUGACGGAGCAACGCCGCGUGAGUGAUGAAGGUCUUCGGAUCGUAAAACUCUGUUAUUAGGGAAGAACAUAUGUGUAAGUAACUGUGCACAUCUUGACGGUACCUAAUCAGAAAGCCACGGCUAACUACGU